GCCAGGUGCAGUGGCGCACGCCUGUAAUCCCAGCACUCAGGAGGCUGAGGCAGGCAGAUUGCAAGUUGAAAGCCAGUCUCAGCAACUUAGCAAGGCCCUGUCUCUA
This 106-nucleotide small RNA is filed under the name Marmota monax (woodchuck). The record is from RNAcentral. Lineage: Eukaryota; Metazoa; Chordata; Mammalia; Rodentia; Sciuridae.